GACGAACGCUGGCGGCGUGCCUAAUACAUGCAAGUCGAACGAGUGGCGGACGGGUGAGUAAUGACUGGGAAACUGCCUGAUGGAGGGGGAUAAAUACUGGAAACGGUAGCUAAUAACGCAUACCAUCAGAUGUGCCCAGAUGGGAUUAGCUAGUUGGUGGGGUAACGGCGCACCAAGGCGACGAUCCCUAGCUGGUCUGAGAGGAUGACCAGCCACACUGGAACUGAUACACGGUCCAGCCUCCUACGGGAGGCAGCAGUGGGGAAUAUUGCACAAUGGGCGCAAGCCUGAUGCAGCCAUGCCGCGUGUAUGAAGAAGGCCUUCGGGUUGUAAAGUACUUUCAGCGGGGAGGCGUUACCCGCAGAAGAAGCACCGGCUAACUCCGUGCCAGCAGCCGCGGUAAUUC
Molecule: ribosomal RNA, 406 nt
Filed under: uncultured bacterium
Lineage: Bacteria
Description: partial 16S ribosomal RNA
Rfam family: Bacterial small subunit ribosomal RNA
Source: RNAcentral